AGCAGAGUGGCUUAAGUGGAAAGAGCACGGGCUUGGGAGCCAGAGGAUGUGGGUUCUAAUCCCACUUCUGCCA
RNAcentral lists this transfer RNA (73 nucleotides) under Ornithorhynchus anatinus (platypus). It matches the Rfam family "tRNA". From Rfam's summary of the family: Transfer RNA (tRNA) molecules are approximately 80 nucleotides in length. Their secondary structure includes four short double-helical elements and three loops (D, anti-codon, and T loops). Lineage: Eukaryota; Metazoa; Chordata; Mammalia; Monotremata; Ornithorhynchidae. The record is from Rfam by way of RNAcentral.